This 626-nucleotide ribosomal RNA is filed under the name uncultured archaeon. RNAcentral describes it as "bacterial SSU rRNA". It matches the Rfam family "Archaeal small subunit ribosomal RNA", at positions 233 to 859 of the family's 1478-position model. The record is from RNAcentral.
UUGGUUAGGUAAUGGCUUACCAAGCCGUUGAUCGGUACGGGCUGUGAGAGCAAGAGCCCGGAGAUGGAACCUGAGACAAGGUUCCAGGCCCUACGGGGUGCAGCAGGCGCGAAACCUCCGCAAUGUGAGAAAUCGCGACGGGGGGAUCCCAAGUGCCAUUCUUAACGGGAUGGCUUUUCAUUAGUGUAAAGAGCUUUUGGAAUAAGGGCUGGGCAAGACCGGUGCCAGCCGCCGCGGUAACACCGGCAGCUCUAGUGGUAGCAGUUUUUAUUGGGCCUAAAGCGUCCGUAGCCGGUUUAAUAAGUCUCUGGUGAAAUCCUGUAGCUUAACUGUGGGAAUUGCUGGAGAUACUAUUAGACUUGAGACCGGGAGAGGUUAGAGGUACUCCCAGGGUAGAGGUGAAAUUCUGUAAUCCUGGGAGGACCGCCUGUUGCGAAGGCGUCUAACUGGAACGGUUCUGACGGUGAGGGACGAAAGUUAGGGGCGCGAACCGGAUUAGAUACCCGGGUAGUCCUAACUGUAAACGAUGCGGACUUGGUGUUGGGGUGGCUUUGAGCUGCUCCAGUGCCGAAGGGAAGCUGUUAAGUCCGCCGCCUGGGAAGUACGGUCGCAAGACUGAAACUUAA